UAUUUGAGAGUUUGAUCCUGGCUCAGGAUGAACGCUGGCGGCGUGCCUAACACAUGCAAGUUGAGCGAUUUACUUCGGUAAAGAGCGGCGGACGGGUGAGUAACGCGUGGGUAACCUACCCUGUACACACGGAUAACAUACCGAAAGGUAUGCUAAUACGGGAUAAUAUAUUUGAGAGGCAUCUCUUGAAUAUCAAAGGUGAGCCAGUACAGGAUGGACCCGCGUCUGAUUAGCUAGUUGGUAAGGUAACGGCUUACCAAGGCGACGAUCAGUAGCCGACCUGGGAGGGUGAUCGGCCACAUUGGAACUGAGACACGGUCCAAACUCCUACGGGAGGCAGCAGUGGGGAAUAUUGCACAAUGGGCGAAAGCCUGAUGCAGCAACGCCGCGUGAGUGAUGAAGGCCUUCGGG
RNAcentral lists this ribosomal RNA (411 nucleotides) under Clostridioides difficile. RNAcentral describes it as "bacterial SSU rRNA". It matches the Rfam family "Bacterial small subunit ribosomal RNA", at positions 1 to 422 of the family's 1533-position model. The record is from RNAcentral. Lineage: Bacteria; Bacillati; Bacillota; Clostridia; Peptostreptococcales; Peptostreptococcaceae.